This is a long non-coding RNA of Dreissena polymorpha, 904 nucleotides long. RefSeq lists it as uncharacterized. The transcript is spliced from 3 exons. NCBI's taxonomy places the organism in Eukaryota, Metazoa, Mollusca, Bivalvia, Myida, Dreissenidae. The record is from RefSeq and is a predicted model, not a curated record.
UCAGUAAGUAUAACGUUUCAAGAUGGCGGAGCGAAUUGCAUGGUUAUUGUUUCUACUCGAUGGAUUCGCAGAUAAUUCGGAAAUUGAUCAGAUUGGGAUCAAUAACUUUAUUGCAUACGAUCAUUUACAUGUAUUACCAGGUGUGUGUUGCCAGUAAUGGUUGAAGAUAUGCCAAACAAAUUGUGCCUCUCUAUACAGACAGAUUUCAGGUCUCAAUUUCUACUUCAAAGGUCAACAUAUCACUGAUAUCAGGGACUCAACAUUACACGGUCAUUUGAACAUGUAGAGUCUUGUCAGCAAUGAUGGAGCAGUACAUCAGAUUUCCAGAAUCUCGUCAUGAGCUGAAGAUCAUUGCCUAUGGAUUUCAUGAAUGAUGUAGAAUGAUUGGACUGUUGAUGGAACCCACAGUGCAUGUCCUGCUUCAACAUCUGAGCAUAGGUCCUUGUUUAUCAGCAGUUUAGUUCUUCAAGCAGUCUGUGACAGUAACUUGAAAUGUUUGGACAUAUGACCUGGAUGGCCAAGUUCUGUGCAUGAUGCCCAUUUAAAUAGGAACGGCCCAGUGGCGCAUUAAAUGGACAUUUUUCGAAUGUUCUCGAGGAUUCAGCUGACCGCCUGACAAGAAAUCUUGCUUUUUGUUCCGUAUCGAGGCCAUGGACAUUUGUAUCAUUUGCAAAAGAACCUGCGAUAUUUGUGCCUUUGUUCAUGCUUUAUAGUUGAUUAACAAUUGGAAGCCAUAACCUGUUUUAUAGGAUGGUGUUAGUGGGACAAUGAAUUUUGUAAAGAUUUAAAGACUGGAAAAGAUAAUUAAAAGUCAAACGAGUUCUGCUAUUGUUAAGCAUGCUUUAUUGAUUUGUAAUGUUAGAAAGAUAGCAUUAUUAACAGAAUAAAAUGUCCAUAAUUUGAA